This 2478-nucleotide long non-coding RNA is filed under the name Brachypodium distachyon (stiff brome). RNAcentral describes it as "long non-coding RNA (BDIS_LNC001123)". The record is from RNAcentral. Lineage: Eukaryota; Viridiplantae; Streptophyta; Magnoliopsida; Poales; Poaceae.
UUUUGCUUUGGCACGCCCCGUCUCUCCUUUUGGUUUGGUUGUCGAGGUAGGAUGGUAACUUGUGCAAUAUGACCGGACAACAAAAGAGCCUGAACUAUUUUGUUGAAACAUAUUCAAGAAAGAUCUAGUUUUGAAGUAAUCGUUGAUACGGAUCUAAUGGCGAAGACGGAUUGUGAAUCGGACACACGGUUUGAGUUAUAAUUUUUUUUGAAUAUAUAAAAUGAACAAGUACAAAAUGCUUGAAAUCUCCUUUGUACUUAACGAACUGCAAGUAGGAAAUUGCCCAGCAGGCCCGGCGCUUGCUCUCGCGCCGCUCCCGUGCGCUGCUUGUAAGGCGCCGUAUGCUAAGGAUCGAUGGGCACGUCCGCUGAAUAGUUCAAUCCAAGUACAUGAUGAUAUGUGAAAGCACUUCCUUCCAUACCUAUUUUCCUUCAUUGUCUUUAUCUUUUCCUUUUGAGUUUUGUAUAAAAAACAUACCACGGCGACAUUUCUUUUGCCUAUACAUGAUUAUCUAUUAUCUAUUACUAUCUAUUAAAUUGAAAUUGGUGGUGAUGGUACGGUCGCCGUCACCGUAGGUUAACUUCGUUAAAAUUACAAUCAAUAUGCCACUGCUCGUUAUUUUCUUUUCCUCCAGUUUUUUUCGUUAAAAUUACAACCAAUAUGCCAUUGCCCGUUAUUUUUUUUCCUCCAGCUUUUUUUCACGAUUUCUCCUAUUCCGUCUUACAGCCGACGCCACCACACUCGCAUGCCGACCUCAACGGCGCCAUGAGUUGCCUACACAGAAAAUAAAAAUAAAUAGUUUGUGAUUUUGUUGACCCGUAGCAACGCGCGGGCACACCUGCUAGUAUCUACAAUGGUACACCUCUUUACAUACAGGGUUAUAUUAAGACUUUUUCUUCCAAAUUUAUUUUCACUUUGUUAUUCGUAUCACCGUUCUUAUUAUAAAAUUAUUUGACAUUCAUUGUGGGUGAACUAUAUUAGAAAUCAUACAUAUUUUUUGAAAAAAAACAUGACAUGGGGCUCUUUUCUAGUUCAAGUAUAAAAGAUGAAUGCUACUACAAUAUGUAGAAUGAAGUUGUAUCUUAUGAAUGCAACAUCGCUGUGUACCCAUGGCCAUGCAUCCGGUGCAUCACAGCCAGCCAAUUCUGAUCGGGCGUGUUUGUUUAGGCUGUGUUUGGUUCAGAGUGGGGCGGAAUGGAAUGGAUUUUUACUUUGUUAUUCCAUUCCACUGCUCGAACAUGUGUACCAUCAAUUGCUCCAAUGCAAUCCUAUAUAUUUAGAAGGGUUAGAACUUAUAAGCCAUAGAAGUUCACACCUAAAUAUGUAAGGACAAGUUUCUCAAAAUACCUUCAAAUAUGGGUCAAACCGCGGGUUCUCUUCAAUUUUAGCUGGAACUUCCAAGGAAGGUGGCCUGAUAUAUUCAGCUCGUAGCUCACCUAUUGCGUGAAGGGCUAGUCUAAAAUAGCGGCUUACUGUAUCAUUUGACCUGUCAAAAUUAACCCCAACAACCCUAUUUCUAAGGUUAUGCCCAAUAGUUUCAAGAACAUUGCUAGUUGCUCCUCCACGGAUACAUGUAUAGUGUCUCUCAGCAGCAUAUGUUCCCUCAAAAUUUCACACAAUCGGAAAAAGGGUACUCGUCCAACCCUUAACAUAUUUCUGCAUCUCACAUCACAGUUGAAAAUUUUAUUGUUUAGAUAAUUGAUUCUUUGUUGAUCUCUUUCCCAAAUAGGACCAUAGGUAACCGAGGUCUCCUCUUCUUUAUUCUAUCCAGAAUAACCAAAGCCACCAAUGUGAAAACCAGAAAUGUUGCAGCUCCCCUAAGCACGAAUUUCCGCCUCCUAUCCAUCCUCUUUACCAUGUACAAUGCAUACAUGGCUAUCAAAAAAUGACAAUGCAUACAUGCAACAAGUUUCUCACUGUUGUUUAUCUAACAAUUUGAGCAUACAGUGCAUAGAGAAAAUCUUCCUCGAAAUAAUUACACCCCAAAAAGAUACAGCAUAAUUACCUUGAGAUCUCUCCUGCUUCUCUUCCAAACCGCAAGCCGCCUCCUUUGACCUGCAGGACCAAACCGCAAGCCGCCUCCUCUCCUCUUCAGAUCGAAGUCGCAACUCCAAUCCCCUGCAGUGCCGACUCCUCUGCCUCCCUCCUUCGCUGACCUCCUCCAACAACUACGCCCCGCAGCCUCCUACUCCGUCGUCUUCGCCUGACACCACCCUCCUGGGCUCGUGUCCUCCUGCCAAGCGUCCACCGCCGGCAGGGCCCUAGAUCUCGUCGGGAUUGAGUUCAAGAGGAGGGGAGACGUGGGGAUCUGGUGGGGAUGGAAGCCGCCGACAUGGCUUGGGGAGGAGAAGGAGAGGGUUUCGGUCGGGAGCUCGGUGCUGGGCGGUGAGAGGAAAGACGGGAGAGAGUCACGGGAAGAGGAGGAACCGGACGAUACCAAGCUUUUUGAGUUACCGAGCGGUUCCGCGUAAACGUGGC